AAAUGAUGUAAUAGGUAAGAGUUCUGUUGUCACUUAGAAACUGUAACUGAAUUUUAAACAGAAGAGGUUUCCUUCAGAAAAGCUGUGCACAGCUGAGCUUAUAGCUUCUGAAAUGCUUCCAGCAUUUUACUAAAGUUUUUUCCAAGUGAGAUUAAAAGGGCAUCUUGAUUGAGUGGCUUCAUUUCUGUCUCACUGCAAACUCAUUUUAGGCUCCACAUUAAGGAGUCUAUGCAGUCAGUUGCUCAGUUGUUUCACCUACAUACUGUAACCCUGGGCUUCCAGUGUUCACUCUAGUGAAUUUUUGAAGCUCACUGUAAAAAUAUUCCCCUCAGAAGUUAGUAUGCGGCAACUGUGCAGUUUGUGCCUGCUGGCACCAGAUGGUGCUGUAUGAUCUGCUUGGUACCUCCUUGAAAGCUGAUAAGCGGAUUUACAAGCGUAUGUUAACUUCUUUUUUUCUCAUCCAUUAUCCCUGAGGUCUUUUCAUCCUACAUUGUCCCUGUGGCCUGCACACUGCACACUAGAUCUGAGUAAGAUUUACCCAAGUUUUGAGUUGAUAUUUGAAAUAGAUGGGAAAGAUUGUUGAACCUAUUUUGGUGAAAAUUUGUUUUCAUUUUGCAGUUGAUAAGUGAAGAGAGGUUUCUGGGGACAGAGGCUUCUAACCUCUCGUCAAAAAGAAAAUGAGGUCCCAGCAUUGUUAGAAGUUCACAGAGUAGAGGUCCUAAGCACAGCAAAAGUGGCCGUGAACGUGUGGGGAGUGAGGUCUGGAAACAACUGUCCGCUGUUCCUCCGCAACACCUCAGAGCUGAAGGGAAUGACACCUCCUACAUAACAAGGCGGCAAACACAAAACUGAACCUGAAACUGAAGCAUACGUGCUCAGUUGUGUCACCCCAAGUAUGCAUGCUGCAUUAUCUGCAUAUACUGACUCACGAAAGAUGGAGUCCCACCUUUAUGUUUUUCUGGCUGUUGUCUGUUUGUACCACACCUUCUGCAUUACUUAACCUCCUUUUAUUUCCAUGUUAAAUUUAGCAAUAAUGACUAACCUACCUGGCAAGUGUGCAUACAUAGACUAAGAACCUCUUUAGCACAGGGAGAAAUUUGUGUCAGCUGUCAGCUUCUGUCUUGUAAAAGGUUUUUUUAUAGGUUUAAAAACAGAGGAGGAAAAAAGAAAAGAGCAAAACAAUUUUUUUCUCUGUGUACCAAGUGUUAAUUGCUGAUGGGAAUGCUUUUUAAUAAAUCAUUUGACUUCUUA
This is a long non-coding RNA of Dromaius novaehollandiae (emu), 1251 nucleotides long. RefSeq lists it as uncharacterized. The record is from RefSeq and is a predicted model, not a curated record. The transcript has 2 exons. Lineage: Eukaryota; Metazoa; Chordata; Aves; Casuariiformes; Dromaiidae.